GUUCGCUGCCGCAUAGGCAGCUCAGAAA
Delftia acidovorans SPH-1 is the source of this 28-nucleotide non-coding RNA. The record is from Rfam. NCBI's taxonomy places the organism in Bacteria, Pseudomonadati, Pseudomonadota, Betaproteobacteria, Burkholderiales, Comamonadaceae.